RNAcentral lists this ribosomal RNA (1399 nucleotides) under metagenome. RNAcentral's name for it is "bacterial SSU rRNA". It matches the Rfam family "Bacterial small subunit ribosomal RNA". The record is from RNAcentral.
GGUCUGGCGGCGAGUGGCGAACGGGUGAGUAAUGCAUCGGAACGUACCUUUCAGUGGGGGAUAACGUAGCGAAAGUUACGCUAAUACCGCAUAUUCUGUGAGCAGGAAAGCAGGGGAUCGCAAGACCUUGCGCUGAUGGAGCGGCCGAUGUCAGAUUAGCUAGUUGGUGGGGUAAAGGCUCACCAAGGCGACGAUCUGUAGCGGGUCUUACAGGAUGAUCCGCCACACUGGAACUGAGACACGGUCCAGACUCCUACGGGAGGCAGCAGUGGGGAAUUUUGGACAAUGGGCGCAAGCCUGAUCCAGCCAUGCCGCGUGAGUGAAGAAGGCCUUCGGGUUGUAAAGCUCUUUCGGCCGGGAAAAAAUCGCUUGGGUUAAUACCCUGAGUGGAUGAUGGUACCGGAAUAAGAAGCACCGGCUAACUACGUGCCAGCAGCCGCGGUAAUACGUAGGGUGCGAGCGUUAAUCGAAUUACUGGGCGUAAAGCGUGCGCAGGCGGUUUUGUAAGACAGGCGUGAAAUCCCCGGGCUCAACCUGGGAACUGCGGUUGUGACUGCAAGGCUAGAGUAUGGCAGAGGGGGGUGGAAUUCCACGUGUAGCAGUGAAAUGCGUAGAGAUGUGGAGGAACACCAAUGGCGAAGGCAGCCCCCUGGGCCAAUACUGACGCUCAUGCACGAAAGCGUGGGGAGCAAACAGGAUUAGAUACCUUGGUAGUCCACGCCCUAAACGAUGUCAACUAGGUGUUGGGUGGGUAAAACCAUUUGGUACCGUAGCUAACGCGUGGAGUUGACCGCCUGGGGAGUACGGCCGCAAGGUUAAAACUCAAAGGAAUUGACGGGGACCCGCACAAGCGGUGGAUGAUGUGGAUUAAUUCGAUGCAACGCGAAAAACCUUACCUACCCUUGACAUGCCAGGAACUUGCCAGAGAUGGCUUGGUGCCCGAAAGGGAGCCUGGACACAGGUGCUGCAUGGCUGUCGUCAGCUCGUGUCGUGAGAUGUUGGGUUAAGUCCCGCAACGAGCGCAACCCUUGUCGUUAAUUGCCAUCAUUUAGUUGGGCACUUUAACGAGACUGCCGGUGACAAACCGGAGGAAGGUGGGGAUGACGUCAAGUCCUCAUGGCCCUUAUGGGUAGGGCUUCACACGUCAUACAAUGGUCGGUACAAAGGGUUGCCAAGCCGCGAGGCGGAGCCAAUCCCAGAAAGCCGAUCGUAGUCCGGAUCGCAGGCUGCAACUCGCCUGCGUGAAGUCGGAAUCGCUAGUAAUCGUGGAUCAGCAUGUCACGGUGAAUACGUUCCCGGGUCUUGUACACACCGCCCGUCACACCAUGGGAGCGGGUUCCGCCAGAAGUAGGUAGCCUAACCGCAAGGAGGGCGCUUACCACGGCGGGGUUCGUGACUG